GACGGAGGGGGCUAGCGUUGUUCGGAAUUACUGGGCGUAAAGAGCGCGUAGGCGGCUCGGCAAGUUGGAAGUGAAAGCCCGGGGCUUAACCUCGGAACUGCUUUCAAAACUGCUGGGCUAGAGUAUGGUAGGGGGUGAUGGAAUUCCUAGUGUAGAGGUGAAAUUCUUAGAUAUUAGGAGGAACACCGGUGGCGAAGGCGGUCACCUGGGCCAUUACUGACGCUGAGGCGCGAAAGCGUGGGGAGCAAACAGG
This 253-nucleotide ribosomal RNA is filed under the name uncultured bacterium. RNAcentral describes it as "partial 16S ribosomal RNA". It matches the Rfam family "Bacterial small subunit ribosomal RNA", at positions 524 to 776 of the family's 1533-position model. The record is from RNAcentral.